GUCAUUAUUUACGGUGGGGGGUGGCACCGAACAGAAAAUGGUUGGGUAAACAAAAUUUUGAGUGAGUAAAAGGUUGGGUAAAUGAAAAACAAAACAACUCAAGGGUUUAAUAAAAAUUUAUUGUCAUUUCCAAAGCAUAACUCACUGAAAUAUUGGAGACUAAAAAGCAAUGACAACAGUCAUAUGUCAAUACAAUAUGUGAAUCGAUCAGAGUCACUAUAUAUCUUGAUCAUUUUCCGAUUUGUUCGGAGACAAAUGGUGUCUCCAAAGAAAGUACAUGUGCAGACAACGUGACACUUUAGACUGCGGAAAAUUUCACAAUCCGUUAUCAAACUAUGUCACAGAAGUGGUAAGGGACUUGUGUGACAACUGAAUGGUAUCUUUUUGUAAUGUUUUUGACCAGGGGUGGGUAUUUCUUUUUUAAUUGAUAUUUGAGGUUGGGUAAUCAAAUAUUUUACUUUUUAAUGGUUGGGUCAGCAAAAUUUUUAGCACGAAAAACAUUUCUCUUCGGUGCCACCCAGACUCGUCCCAAGUCGUUAUUUGAAUUUCAAUUUUAUAUAUAGGGAC
Molecule: non-coding RNA, 567 nt
Organism: Paramuricea clavata
Lineage: Eukaryota; Metazoa; Cnidaria; Anthozoa; Malacalcyonacea; Plexauridae
Source: the annotation of a GenBank genome assembly